GACGAACGCUGGCGGCGUGCCUAAUACAUGCAAGUCGAGCGGACGGAUGGGAGCUUGCUCCCAGACCGUCAGCGGCGGACGGGUGAGUAACACGUGGGCAACCUGCCUGUAAGACUGGGAUAACUCCGGGAAACCGGGGCUAAUACCGGAUAACUCUUUCCCUCACAUGAGGGAAAGCUGAAAGAUGGCAUCUCGCUAUCACUUACAGAUGGGCCCGCGGCGCAUUAGCUAGUUGGUGAGGUAACGGCUCACCAAGGCGACGAUGCGUAGCCGACCUGAGAGGGUGAUCGGCCACACUGGGACUGAGACACGGCCCAGACUCCUACGGGAGGCAGCAGAAGGGAAUCUUCCGCAAUGGACGAAAGUCUGACGGAGCAACGCCGCGUGAGUGAUGAAGGUUUUCGGAUCGUAAAACUCUGUUGUCAGGGAAGAACAAGUACCGGAGUAACUGCCGGUACCUUGACGGUACCUGACCAGAAAGCCACGGCUAACUACGUG
RNAcentral lists this ribosomal RNA (498 nucleotides) under uncultured bacterium. RNAcentral's name for it is "partial 16S ribosomal RNA". It matches the Rfam family "Bacterial small subunit ribosomal RNA", at positions 28 to 507 of the family's 1533-position model. The record is from RNAcentral.